AUAAAAAUCUUGAACCGGGCUGCAGUCAGAUUCGCGUCUGGGCAGACAGCCCAGACACAUGUUGGAAAAACGGGCAUAACUUCUUGCUCGGGUACCGGUUUUAUGCACCGUUUCUUGAUUCCGAAACUAGACUCGCAUAUCUUUCUGAAUAUGUAUGGGUUGUGUCGUGGUUCUUUCUAGAUUAUAGCAGUUUUUGAAUUAAAGUUCAGGUUUUGGUGAUUCUGGAAUUCUGGGCAGGUUUUGUAGCUGUGUUCUUAAUCAAUUUUCUCAUAGUUGAAUAUGCUUCCUGACUAUGGAUGCUGUUGAGUCUUAAACCUUGAUCAGUUGGUGUUGUUUUGGCGUUGGAAAUAUUGGAAAAGAUUAAGUGUGUGAUUUUUAAUGAGCAUUCGAUCGCAGACUGUUCUGCUGGGUCUGUAGUUUCUGUUUUAGAUGUGUAAUUUCAAUGGAGCAUAUCUUAGUCAUUCGGAGUCCAAUUUGGGCAAAUUUUAUAUCUAGAUUGAUGUACUAGAAGCCUUCUUGCUAGUGGUGGUGGUCUUGUAGUAUUCUUUGAAACCUAUAGAAUUCUAUAGUCAGAAAUCGAUCAGUGGUUCUGUUGAUAAUGUGUGAAAUUGUGAAAUUCUUGGUUUGGGUACGAAUUGGUGAUUUUACUUUUGUUCGGCAUACGUUAAAUAGUUGAAUUCAUGCAGAACAUUGUUAAUGCAUUUGUUAAAGCCUUAAAAGUAUUUCUAUACUAAAAUGUUUGGCUUGUGGAUAGGUGACGAGUCGGUGAAUCAAGGAGCACCGAAACCAUAGUUGUACUUUCUUUUGGAGUACAAGUUUUGCAGGCGUUGUAGAUAUCCACUGCUGAUCGUCGUGGGGUUGUACGCUCGCUUAGGGUAGCACGUCGGGAAGGCUGGACUAGUUUUGGCAAAAUUUUGUAGAUAGGGAUGUAGUUGCAGCCUAUGUUUAAAUUUGGUUUAUUGUAUAGUUUAAUGUUUUCUUAAGACUUCCGCUGUGUUUGUAAGAACGUUAAGUUUUGCGUUAUCAAUAAAAUGGUUGUUGGAUAA
This is a long non-coding RNA of Rhododendron vialii, 1046 nucleotides long. RefSeq lists it as uncharacterized. Lineage: Eukaryota; Viridiplantae; Streptophyta; Magnoliopsida; Ericales; Ericaceae. The record is from RefSeq and is a predicted model, not a curated record. The transcript is spliced from 2 exons.